Molecule: long non-coding RNA, 1905 nt
Organism: Lucilia cuprina (Australian sheep blowfly)
Lineage: Eukaryota; Metazoa; Arthropoda; Insecta; Diptera; Calliphoridae
Exons: 2
Source: RefSeq, a predicted model, not a curated record
AAAAUCUACUUUUGUCAAAGGGUACGUAAGCGUAUUCGUUUGCUUUAGUACGAAAGCUGUUCACUUAGAAGUAUGCUCUGAUCUGUCUUCAGCGGCACUUCAAGCUGCAUUUUCUCGUUUCGUUGGGAGGCGAGGAUUACCCCAAAGGGCAGUAGAAACUUUCUAGGGGCUAGUAGAGAACUUUUACGAGAAUUUUCCUCUUUUAUAAAAAAUGCAUCUCAAGAUUUAGCUCAAAAGUACUUGACACACGGCUUUGAGUGGAAAUUUAUUCCCCCACACGCUCCUCAUAUGGGCGGCUUAUGGGAAGCCGCCGUAAAAAGUUUCGAAUUUCAUUUAAAACGAAUUACUGGUGCUCAAAAAUUCACAUUUGAAGAAUUCUCAACAAUUAUAACUCGAAUUGAAGGCGUACUAAACUCUCGCCCAAUCUCAGCUUUAUCUGAAGACCCUUCAGAUCUGACUGCUCUAACCCCAGGACAUUUCCUAAGAGGAGCCCCGAUAAUGGCUCUCCCAGAACAAGAUUAUCAAAAUAUAUCUCUUAUUAAUAGGUGGGAAAAAUUAAAAGCUAUGCAUCAUCAAUUCUCAAUACGCUGGAAAAAUGAUUAUCUUAAAACUACACAAACGCUAUAAGUGGAAAAACUCUACUACAAAUCUUAAAAUUGGAGAUCUCGUCGUUGUAAUGGACGAUCUUCAGCCGCCUUACGAGUGGCGUCUAGGAAGAAUCGAAUAAACUUACUUUGGUUCAGAUAAUAAUAACCAACCGAAGACUUACCGCUACACGGUCAAGCGAAGACAGCAGCACUACCACUCGGCCAAGAGAAGCCCCCAAUAAUGACGACUACCACAGCACCACCACUUGGUCAGGAGAACGUCGCAGCCAAAGCAGCAGUCAUCACCACAGAGGCGUAACCUCACGGAAAAGUGAAGGCCACAAUAGGCAGCGAAGCCGUCACCACACUACCCAGCACAACACCCGAAGGGAUUCGGCAUUGUACCAGUGCAAACUUUGUAUGAGGUUCCAUGCCAUACGGUUUUGCCCAAAAUUCCUGAACAUGACAGUCAUCCGGAGGAUUGAGGUGGUAACUAGACACAAAUACUGUGUCAACUGUUUGGCCAAAAGACAUAUUGUUCGGGACUGUACCUCAAUGGCAAGCUGCAGCAGAUGCCACCGGUUUCAUCAUACGAUGUUACACCCACCAAAGCUUCGUAUUACCGUCGGCAACCAAACGAGCCAGCAACGUCAUCAACGGCCUAAGCCGCACAGACGCACCCUACUAUCAACGAUUCAAAGACCUCAACAGAAUCAACCACCAAACACAUCAACCGCUCAAACACCAGACCCACAAACAACUCAACCAACAACUUCCGCCAACAUAAAUCAAAAUAUAAUCAUCGAAGCCAUUAAAUCCUUAGCAGAAGUACUCUGCUCCACCAACAAGGGGCCAUCUGUUGCCUAAGGGCAAGGCCGGCGGCAUGUCCAAUCUUGGACACAAUAUUUUUUUUUAUAUUAUUAUUUUUUUUAUUGAAUUAUUUUAUUGAAUUAUUUUGUGAAUUAUAAGAUUUGAAUUGUUUACUUUUUUAUUUAUAUUCUUACUGUUGCCAGUUAAAUUGAAUUGCAUUGAAUUGUCAUAAACUGCAUUACCGUAAUAUUAUAAAUAUAUCAUUGUUAAGUAAACCCUUUUUAGUACGAAAAAUGAAUUGUCAAAUUGUUGUAAUUAUUAGCUGAAUUGCCAUUUUGUAUAAAUCUUAAGCUUCCUUUAUUUUAAUCGCGAAAAUAAAACUUCACUUGUAAUUCAUCAGUCGCAGUGAAAACAUUAAAAUAACUCUCCCGCUCUUUAACUUCACUUUAAUUUAAUCUCUCAGUGCUGUGAACAAAAUAAAAAAUAAAAUAUAAAAAAAAACCUCCAA